CGGACGGGUGAGUAACACGUGAGCAACCUGGCUCUAAGAGGGGGACAACAGUUGGAAACGACUGCUAAUACCGCAUAACGUAUCGGGAUGGCAUCUUCCUGAUACCAAAGAUUUUAUCGCUUAGAGAUGGGCUCGCGUCUGAUUAGAUAGUUGGCGGGGUAACGGCCCACCAAGUCGACGAUCAGUAGCCGGACUGAGAGGUUGAACGGCCACAUUGGGACUGAGACACGGCCCAGACUCCUACGGGAGGCAGCAUG
Molecule: ribosomal RNA, 257 nt
Filed under: uncultured bacterium
Lineage: Bacteria
Description: partial 16S ribosomal RNA
Rfam family: Bacterial small subunit ribosomal RNA
Source: RNAcentral